UUUUGUAUAAUGGGUCAGCGACUUAUAUUCUGUAGCAAGGUUAACCGAAUAGGGGAGCCGAAGGGAAACCGAGUCUUAACUGGGCGUUAAGUUGCAGGGUAUAGACCCGAAACCCGGUGAUCUAGCCAUGGGCAGGUUGAAGGUUGGGUAACACUAACUGGAGGACCGAACCGACUAAUGUUGAAAAAUUAGCGGAUGACUUGUGGCUGGGGGUGAAAGGCCAAUCAAACCGGGAGAUAGCUGGUUCUCCCCGAAAGCUAUUUAGGUAGCGCCUCGUGAAUUCAUCUCCGGGGGUAGAGCACUGUUUCGGCAAGGGGGUCAUCCCGACUUACCAACCCGAUGCAAACUGCGAAUACCGGAGAAUGUUAUCACGGGAGACACACGGCGGGUGCUAACGUCCGUCGUGAAGAGGGAAACAACCCAGACCGCCAGCUAAGGUCCCAAAGUCAUGGUUAAGUGGGAAACGAUGUGGGAAGGCCCAGACAGCCAGGAUGUUGGCUUAGAAGCAGCCAUCAUUUAAAGAAAGCGUAAUAGCUCACUGGUCGAGUCGGCCUGCGCGGAAGAUGUAACGGGGCUAAACCAUGCACCGAAGCUGCGGCAGCGACGCUUAUGCGUUGUUGGGUAGGGGAGCGUUCUGUAAGCCUGCGAAGGUGUGCUGUGAGGCAUGCUGGAGGUAUCAGAAGUGCGAAUGCUGACAUAAG
RNAcentral lists this ribosomal RNA (701 nucleotides) under Escherichia coli. RNAcentral describes it as "partial 23S ribosomal RNA". It matches the Rfam family "Bacterial large subunit ribosomal RNA", at positions 606 to 1306 of the family's 2925-position model. RNAcentral also lists the same sequence under 1 other name. Lineage: Bacteria; Pseudomonadati; Pseudomonadota; Gammaproteobacteria; Enterobacterales; Enterobacteriaceae. The record is from RNAcentral.